GCAUAUCAAUAAGCGGAGGAAAAGAAACCAACAGGGAUUGCCCUAGUAACGGCGAAGUGAAGCGGCAACAGCUCAAAUUUGAAAUCUGGCGCAAGCCCGAGUUGUAAUUUGUAGAGGAUGUUUCUGGCGACGUGCCUUCCGAGUUCCCUGGAACGGGACGCCAUAGAGGGUGAGAGCCCCGUACGGUUGGAUGCCUAGCCUCUGUGAAACUCCUUCGACGAGUCGAGUAGUUUGGGAAUGCUGCUCUAAAUGGGAGGUAUACGUCUUCUAAAGCUAAAUACCGGCCAGAGACCGAUAGCGCACAAGUAGAGUGAUCGAAAGAUGAAAAGCACUUUGAAAAGAGGGUUAAAAAGUACGUGAAAUUGUUGAAAGGGAAGCGUUCAUGACCAGACUUGGGCAGGUUGAUCAUCCGUGGUUCUCCGCGGUGCACUCUGCCUGCCCAGGCCAGCAUCAGUUCGCCCCGGGGGAUAAAGACUUUGGGAAUGUGGCUCCCUCGGGAGUGUUAUAGCCCACUGUGUAAUACCCUGGGGUGGACUGAGGUUCGCGCUCUGCAAGGAUGCUGGCGUAAUGGUCAUCAACGACCCGUCUUGAAACACGGACCAAGGAGUCGUCUUCGUAUGCGAGUGUUCGGGUGUCAAACCCCUACGCGUAAUGAAAGUGAACGUAGGAGAGAGCUUCGGCGCAUCUCCGACCGAUCCUGAUGUUCUCGGAUGGAUUUGAGUAAGAGCAUACGGGGCCGGACCCGAAAGAAGGUGAACUAUGCCUGUAUAGGGUGAAGCCAGAGGAAACUCUGGUGGAGGCUCGCAGCGGUUCUGACGUGCAAAUCGAUCGUCAAAUAUGGGCAUGGGGGGCGAAAGACUAAUCGAACCUUCUAGUAGCUGGUUCCGC
This 888-nucleotide ribosomal RNA is filed under the name Clonostachys rhizophaga. Its description in RNAcentral is "LSU rRNA". It matches the Rfam family "Eukaryotic large subunit ribosomal RNA", at positions 38 to 960 of the family's 3401-position model. The record is from RNAcentral. Lineage: Eukaryota; Fungi; Ascomycota; Sordariomycetes; Hypocreales; Bionectriaceae.